GACGAACGCUGGCGGCGUGCUUAACACAUGCAAGUCGAACGAAGUGGCGAACGGGUGAGUAACGCGUAAUCAACCUGCCCUUCAGCGGGGGACAACAGUUGGAAACGACUGCUAAUACCGCAUACUGAAGGAGGGGAUUGCGUCUGAUUAGCUAGUUGGAGGGGUAACGGCCCACCACGGCGAUGAUCAGUAGCUGUUAUGAGAGGAGGAAUGGCCACAUUGGAACUGAGACACGGCCCAGAUUACUACGGGAGGCAGCAGUGGGGAAUCUUCCGCAAUGGACGAAAGUCUGACGGAGCAACGCCGCUUGAGUUAUGACGGCCUUCGGGUUGUAAAGCUCUGUUAAUCGGGACGCGGUACCGGAAUAGAAAGCCACGGCUAACUCCGUGCCAGCAGCCGCGGUAAUUC
This 408-nucleotide ribosomal RNA is filed under the name uncultured bacterium. Its description in RNAcentral is "partial 16S ribosomal RNA". It matches the Rfam family "Bacterial small subunit ribosomal RNA", at positions 28 to 526 of the family's 1533-position model. The record is from RNAcentral.